Molecule: ribosomal RNA, 1243 nt
Filed under: metagenome
Description: SSU rRNA
Rfam family: Eukaryotic small subunit ribosomal RNA
Source: RNAcentral
AGUCUGGUGCCAGCAGCCGCGGUAAUUCCAGCUCCAAUAGCGUAUAUUAUUAUUGUUGCGGUUAAAAAGCUCGUAGUUGGAUCUCGGUUUCGGGCGAGCGGUGUACCUUGCGGUAUUUACUGUUUGCCCGGACGAUUUUGUUGGUUCGUUUAUGGUUCUCUUAACCGAGUGCCAUAAGUGGCCAGCACGUUUACUUUGAAAAAAUUGGAGUGCUCAAAGCAGGCGCUACAGCCUGAACAUUAGUGCAUGGAAUAAUGGAAUAGGAUCUCGGUUCUAUUUCGUUGGCUUUCGGAGUCGAGGUAAUGAUUAAUAGGGACAGACGGGGGCAUUCGUACUGCGACGUUAGAGGUGAAAUUCUUGGAUCGUCGCAAGACGAACUACUGCGAAAGCAUUUGCCAAGAAUGUUUUCAUUAAUCAAGAACGAAAGUUAGAGGUUCGAAGGCGAUCAGAUACCGCCCUAGUUCUAACCAUAAACGAUGUCGACCGGCGAUCCGUUAUCGUUAACUGAAUGACUUAACGGGCAGCCUCCGGGAAACCAGAGUGUUUGGAUUCCGGGGGAAGUAUGGUUGCAAAGCUGAAACUUAAAAGAAUUGACGGAAGGGCACCACCAGGAGUGGAGCCUGCGGCUUAAUUUGACUCAACACGGGAAAUCUCACCAGGCCCGGACACCGGAAGGAUUGACAGAUUGAGAGCUCUUUCUUGAUUCGGUGGGUGGUGGUGCAUGGCCGUUCUUAGUUGGUGGAGCGAUUUGUCUGGUUAAUUCCGAUAACGAACGAGACUCUGGCCUACUAACUAGACGUUAGAUCCCUUUGUGGGUCUAUCGCAGCUUCUUAGAGGGACGGGCGGCGUUUAGCCGCACGAGAUUGAGCAAUAACAGGUCUGUGAUGUCCUUAGAUGUUCUGGGCUGCACGCGCGCUACACUGAAGGAAUCAGCGUGUGUUCCCUACCCGAAAGGGUUGGGAAACCCGUUGAACCUCCUUCGUGAUGGGGAUUGGGGAUUGCAAUUAUUCCCCAUGAACGAGGAAUUCCCAGUAGGCGCGAGUCAUAAGCUUGCGUCGAUUACGUCCCUGCCCUUUGUACACACCGCCCGUCGCUACUACCGAUCGAGUGAUUUAGUGAGGCCUUCGGACUGGUCUUCAGUAUGGCUUUCGGGUCGUGUUGGAGUACCGGAAAGAUGACCAAACUUGAUCACUUAGAGGAAGUAAAAGUCGUAACAAGGUUUCCGUAGGUGAACCUGCGGAAG